This is a long non-coding RNA of Chroicocephalus ridibundus (black-headed gull), 1396 nucleotides long. RefSeq lists it as uncharacterized. The record is from RefSeq and is a predicted model, not a curated record. The transcript has 3 exons. NCBI's taxonomy places the organism in Eukaryota, Metazoa, Chordata, Aves, Charadriiformes, Laridae.
UUUUCAACAGGGACAGGCGGGCACAAGGGAAGAGCCGAAGGGGAGCAAACUGCCGGAGCAGCGCCGGGUGCGAGACGAGCCGCUACCACCCGCACCCGGGGGCCUCAGCACCCCCCCAUUCAGCGGGCAAGCCCAGCGGCGGGCACCGCGCGGGCUGCCGCGGGGCGGAAAGCAGGAGUACCUGGGUAAGCUUUUCUGAAAUGAAGGAAUACAAUGUACAGCGGCCGUUUGGAAAGGAAAAGGAGUGAAUGGCGGCAAAGGCUGGUGCCUUACUGGGAGGAGACUGGGAAGGCGACGCAGGCACAUGUAUUUCCCCUGCAUUUCCCCUCCUGCGCUCCAGCCAGCCUCUGCCUUGGUUCUUUCAGGGCUCCUCAGCCUGCAGAAGAAGGAAUCCCACAUGGAGGAAAGGGCCAAAGUUCUGCCUGGAACUGAUGCUGCCCUGCUUUGUUAUGAAGAAAUAAAGGCAUUGCUGCAGAGAGGGGAAGGAAACCUUGGAGCUGAAGAUGACUUUUGGUGCUAACCCGCUGGCUGAUGCCGUGGGGCUGGCAGAGCUCCCCCAGAGCGUUGGCGCUGCUCCGUCCCCAGCGCAGAGCCACGCCGAUACUCUCAAUGUAAAAGAGCUGCUUGACUGAUGCAAGUGAGAAUUUGGCCCAGAGACAACAGAAAUGGCCAACAACUAUAAAUAUUUCUGAUGCCACGAACGAGUUGAAGUCGCAGCCAUCGCCCCCAAUGUGGGGGUGAGGGACCCCCGCAGCCUCGGCGACCGGGGUCUGCCCGAGCCAGGGCAGUCGUGUGCCUCUCUGAGAGCAGGGUUUGUGCGCUGCAGAUCAAGAAGCUAAUGCGAUGGUUAAAGGGAUUACUGCAAACUAUGCUGUGUUUUCUAGUGAGAGAAUUUGUGGUAUUACAUUCCUGGCUAAUUUUCAAUUUUUCUCUUUUGUAUGAACAUAAAGGGAUAAAUGAGGUAGAAAAUACUGCUCCGCAGCUGCUUUUGGUUAAGUUUUUGCCCCUCUUCCAUGAGCGUAGUAGUAAAAAUACAGAUUUGUUUGAAAUAUUUUUGAAGAAAAUUUCAUCUCUUGGACUCUCAAUAAGAGCAGAGCAAUCAGAGAAAAAUGACAGGAAAAUAAAUGGAAGAAACUAAUCAAAGAGGCAGACAAAUGACAAUUAAAUCCAAGCAGCUCCUUGGUUAUUGAAAAAAGCAAGUCAAAUUCCUGUAUGUGCUGAUUUUGCCCAUGGUUGUUUGUAGAGAGAUAUAUGAUUGCAGUGGAAAGCAAAAAUAUACUGCAUCAACUCUAAGAAGUAUUUUGUGGCAACAUACUAUGUUUUUUUCACUGGUGGUGAUCAAAUGAGUCAUCUAGUUUGUAGUCAAAAAUAGAUCCAGUAAUGUAGAUUAAAAAAU